UAGGGAAUCUUCGGCAAUGGACGAAAGUCUGACCGAGCAACGCCGCGGGAGUGAAGAAGGUUUUCGGAUCGUAAAACUCUGUUGUUAGAGAAGAACAAGGACGUUAGUAACUGAACGUCCCCUGACGGUAUCUAACCAGAAAGCCACGGCUAACUACGUGCCAGCAGCCGCGGUAAUACGUAGGUGGCAAGCGUUGUCCGGAUUUAUUGGGCGUAAAGCGAGCGCAGGCGGUUUCUUAAGUCUGAUGUGAAAGCCCCCGGCUCAACCGGGGAGGGUCAUUGGAAACGGGGAGACUUGAGUGCAGAAGAGGAGAGGGGAAUUCCAGGUGUAGCGGUGAAAUGCGUAGAUAUAUGGAGGAACACCAGUGGCGAAGGCGGCUCUCUGGUCUGUAACUGACGCUGAGGCGCGAAAGCGUGGGGAGCAAACAGG
Molecule: ribosomal RNA, 429 nt
Filed under: Gemmatimonadota bacterium
Lineage: Bacteria; Pseudomonadati; Gemmatimonadota
Description: Gemmatimonadetes bacterium partial 16S ribosomal RNA
Rfam family: Bacterial small subunit ribosomal RNA
Source: RNAcentral